Long non-coding RNA from Silurus meridionalis, 455 nucleotides. RefSeq lists it as uncharacterized. Lineage: Eukaryota; Metazoa; Chordata; Actinopteri; Siluriformes; Siluridae. The transcript is spliced from 3 exons. The record is from RefSeq and is a predicted model, not a curated record.
UUCAAAGACUCGAUUCGGUUUUCCGAAAGUGAAAGUGUUUCUCAGCCUCGACUCCAUUUUGAGGAGAAAAACACAAAGAUGUUGAACAGCAGUCAGAAGCGGUGAGAUUCAUGUCCAACAACAAGCAGUGGUGAAGAAAAGUGGGAAUGUGAUUGAUUCCAGCAGAAGAGAUUGACGUCUUCAGGACUCUGCGUGUACACAAGCAUUAAAAAAUGGAGAUCCCUGAUCAGGGGACAGAUCAUGUGACCUCACUCUUAAAAGACUGUAAACUACAGAGAGAGAAAUCACACUCACCAGUGCCCAGCUGUGUCUCCAUGAAGAGUGAUAAGUCUAUAGAUCUUCCUUUGGGAUUUAGCACUGGAAUCUCCUCACCUGGACACAGGUAACAUCCCAUAAUUCUCCUAGUUAAAGUCACAGUUAAUGGCUGCACUACACCGUCAUUAGCAGCUGUUUAG